UUUGAGCUGGUACAUGGCCCGUACCCCAAACCGACACAGGUGGUCAGGUAGAGAAUACUAAGGCGAUCGAGAGAACUGUGGUUAAGGAACUCGGCAAAAUGCCCCCGUAACUUCGGGAGAAGGGGGACCAGUCCUGGUGACGACAUUUACUGUCUGAGCUGGGGUUGGUCGCAGAGACCAGAGAGAAGCGACUGUUUACUAAAAACACAGGUCCGUGCGAAGUCGUAAGACGAUGUAUACGGACUGACGCCUGCCCGGUGCUGGAAGGUUAAGAGGACCGGUCAGCCACUUCGGUGGCGAAGCUGAGAAUUUAAGCCCCAGUAAACGGCGGUGGUAACUAUAACCAUCCUAAGGUAGCGAAAUUCCUUGUCGGGUAAGUUCCGACCUGCACGAAUGGCGUAACGACUUCUCUGCUGUCUCAACCACAGACUCGGCGAAAUUGCAGUACGAGUAAAGAUGCUCGUUACGCGCGGCAGGACGAAAAGACCCCGGGACCUUCACUAUAGCUUGGUAUUGGUGUUCGGUUCGGUUUGUGUAGGAUAGGUGGGAGACUGUGAAACUCGCACGCCAGUGUGGGUGGAGUCAUUGUUGAAAUACCACUCUGACCGUAUUGGACAUCUAACCCCGGACCAUGAUCUGGUUCAGGGACAGUGCCUGGUGGGUAGUUUAACCGGGGCGGUUGCCUCCUAAAAAGUAACGGAGGCGCCCAAAGGUUCCCUCAGCCUGGUCGGCAAUCAGGUGUUGAGUGUAAGUGCACAAGGGAGCUCGACUGUGAGACGUACAUGUCGAGCAGGGACGAAAGUCGGGACUAGUGAUCCGGCACCGGCAAGUGGAAGCGGUGUCGCUCAACGGAUAAAAGGUACCCCGGGGAUAACAUGCUGAUCUUCCCCAAGAGUCCAUAUCGACGGGAUGGUUUGGCACCUCGAUGUCGGCUCGUCGCAUCCUGGGGCUGGAGUAGGUCCCAAGGGUUGGGCUGUUCGCCCAUUAAAGCGGCACGCGAGCUGGGUUUAGAACGUCGUGAGACAGUUCGGUCUCUAUCCGCCGCGCGCGUAAGAAACUUGAGGAAACCUGUCCCUAGUACGAGAGGACCGGGACGGACGAACCUCUGGUGUGCCAGUUGUUCCACCAGGAGCACCGCUAGUUAGCUACGUUCGGAAGGGAUAACCGCUGAAAGCAUCUAAGCGGGAAGCCUGUUCCAAGA
This 1201-nucleotide ribosomal RNA is filed under the name metagenome. RNAcentral describes it as "bacterial LSU rRNA". It matches the Rfam family "Bacterial large subunit ribosomal RNA", at positions 1624 to 2804 of the family's 2925-position model. The record is from RNAcentral.